This 272-nucleotide ribosomal RNA is filed under the name uncultured archaeon. RNAcentral's name for it is "partial 16S ribosomal RNA". It matches the Rfam family "Archaeal small subunit ribosomal RNA", at positions 748 to 1008 of the family's 1478-position model. The record is from RNAcentral.
AGGGUGUAAACGCUGCAGACUUGGUGUUGGAGGCCCCUUUUGGGGGCGAUUCAGUGCCGGAGAGAAGUUGUUAAGUCUGCUACUUGGGGAGGUACGUCCGCAAGGAUGAAACUUAAAGGAAAUUGGCGGGGGGAGGCACCACAACGGGUGGAGCGUGCGGUUUAAUUUGGAUUCAACACCGUAAACUACACCAGGGAAGGACUGUUACAUGAAAGACCGAGAUGAAGACUCUGCUAGGUUUUCUAGAGAGGUGGUGCAUGGCGUCAGUGACU